RNAcentral lists this long non-coding RNA (273 nucleotides) under Gossypium barbadense (sea-island cotton). RNAcentral's name for it is "long non-coding RNA (GBAR_LNC011433)". The record is from RNAcentral. Lineage: Eukaryota; Viridiplantae; Streptophyta; Magnoliopsida; Malvales; Malvaceae.
UCACACUGAUCCGAUGUCACAUAAUCAUAGGAAUAGUCUCAUAGAUUGCUCUCGUAUACAUCACAUAACUACCUUAUGAUUUAGUGCAAAUCAAGCUCACAUAUAAACUUGGAGUACAUACCUGUUUAACCUUUCGCAUUGAAUAUAUUUAUAAGCAAUUCUUAUUACGAAGUCUUACCCGGACAAAAUCCCCACACGUAGUCAUUGGGUCUUUAGAGCUCGGAUAUAGUACGAGCACGAAACUUACGGACAUUAAUCAGUGAUAAUAUUCUC